AUACAGAGGGUGCGAGCGUUAAUCGGAAUUACUGGGCGUAAAGCGCGCGUAGGCGGCUUAUUAAGUCAGAUGUGAAAUCCCCGGGCUCAACCUGGGAACUGCAUCUGAUACUGGUAAGCUAGAGUUUUGGAGAGGGAAGUAGAAUUUCAGGUGUAGCGGUGAAAUGAAUAGAGAUCUGAAGGAAUACCAGUGGCGAAGGCGACUUCUUGGCCAAAAACUGACGCUGAGGUGCGAAAGCGUGGGUAGCAAACGGGAUUAGAAACCCCAGUAGUCC
This 274-nucleotide ribosomal RNA is filed under the name uncultured bacterium. Its description in RNAcentral is "partial 16S ribosomal RNA". It matches the Rfam family "Bacterial small subunit ribosomal RNA", at positions 523 to 796 of the family's 1533-position model. The record is from RNAcentral.